UACGUAGGGGGCAAGCGUUGUCCGGAAUCAUCGGGCGUAAAGCGCGUGUAGGCGGCCCGGUAAGUCCGCUGUGAAAGUCGGGGGCUCAACCCUCGGAUGCCGGUGGAUACUGUCGGGCUUGAGUACGGAAGAGGCGAGUGGAAUUCCUGGUGUAGCGGUGAAAUGCGCAGAUAUCAGGAGGAACACCUAUUGCGAAGGCAGCUCGCUGGGACGUGACUGACGCUGAGACGCGAAAGCGUGGGGAGCAAACAGG
RNAcentral lists this ribosomal RNA (253 nucleotides) under uncultured bacterium. Its description in RNAcentral is "partial 16S ribosomal RNA". It matches the Rfam family "Bacterial small subunit ribosomal RNA", at positions 524 to 776 of the family's 1533-position model. The record is from RNAcentral.